Gallus gallus (chicken) is the source of this 4904-nucleotide long non-coding RNA. NCBI's taxonomy places the organism in Eukaryota, Metazoa, Chordata, Aves, Galliformes, Phasianidae. The record is from Ensembl.
AAAAGGCUUCCUGCCAAAGGCUAAAACUGCCAAAUCCUCAUCCUUGUCUGGAAACACAGGCGGUAGUAGGUUAUAUUCCUUGUGAAGUUAUCCACCUGGCUACCCUCUGUUCCCAGUCUCACAACAGCACUGCUUUAAUGGCUGAUGCGUUCUGUCACACUUUUUUUGUGGACAAAGAGCACCUUUUCUGUAGAGAAGGACCAGAGAAGAAGAUGGAAAGACCUGGGAGUCCUGCACCUGGUACUGAGGUGAGAAGACAUCGCCAGGAGAAGGAAUAUGGAUAACAUAGAUGCCAAAACCUCCAUGUCAGAGCAGCAAGAUCUAUCUGUGGUAUUUGCAGUCACGUAAUUGCUUUUGCUGUUUUUCUGUAUUUUACAUUACAAAGGAGGUUCAAAAUAUAUCUGAAGUAGAAGUAUGUGCCAAACAUACAGCAGAAAAAUUCACUGAAAGAAAUAGAAAUAGAAAAAAACACGCAAACCACAGCAUGGGGCAAUCUUCCCAAGCAACAGCAGAAUCUAAUCAGGGUUGCCUAAUUUUUUUCCCACUCAAAACAAACGCUUUCAAAUUAGAAGGGUUUAAGACUGUAGGAAGGACAGACUAUUCACACCCCACCUCCUUAUUUUAAUAUUAUCUUUUUUUACACAACUUUGGAAACCUAGCAUGCCGACCUUGGUUAAUUCCUGUGAAUCAUACAAGCCUUAAUUGGUUUUGGAAGGGUCUCCAGAUCUCUCUAGAAAAGGUUAAGCAUUAUUUAUUUGCCUUCGUUACUAUCCAAACCUAUGUGAUUUCUGAACAGGUUUGACAUUCAAACUAAUUAAGGAUAAGCAAAAGAGGAAAAAAGCCUUUAUAUGAGUUCUAAACAAAAAUUUACAAAAGAAAGAAAUGUAAAGCAGUAAUGGCAAAAGCCAUAUAUUAUAUAACACCCCUGCACCAUUCUUCUUUAGUAUAGAAGAGCUGCAGAAUGCCUCUUGCUAGUUCCUGUGUUUAUGAGAUCCAAUCUGAAAGAGGGUAAGAGUUGUGUCGGUUCUUUUCUAGCUUUAAGGCACAUGGUAACCGUAUCGUUGUCAUUAUUUUCUAAAAUAAUAGAUGAGUUUUGAUUUUGUUUCAUUUACAAGAUGUCAUUCAUAUAUGAAAUAUUCUGAAAGUACAGCUCUUUCUCUACCAAAGUGUGAGAACUAGGUUCCUGCAUGGUGAUCUCCCUGCAGUCAUGGCCUCCUCAACCCCUCCGCUUGCUGCAAAGAACGGGAGACGUCUGAGGUGUUGAUUAACAAACUAAAAGGAAGGAUUCCUCACUAUGUCUGAAUGCUCCUUCUCAUCAUUUAAAAGAAGUCAGAGGGAACAGGAUGAGGAAAGAGAUGAGUAUACUGUUGCAGUUUAGUACCAGUGUUCCCAUCGACUCGAUGUUUUCUGAAUCUGAAUUCUACAACAUGGUGUGGAUUCAGCAAGAAAUGUCCUGAGAAAUGGUGGAUCAGAAGAUAAAAAAUGGCAGUGACAUCCACCUUUGUGCCAGGCACAGUGCCGGUACUCCAGAGCCACACAACCACUGUCUCCCACCUCACAUUCAUGCUUAUAAUUCCAGACAUGCUUAAUGACGUAUAGCAAUGGUUCUUCCCCCAUACAAUGCUAAAAACAACUUCCACUUGUAUUUUCAAUUAUGUUAUUUUUCACUUAGACAUGUCUGAAACUUCAGCAACAACAAAUCUUUAACUUAUUCCCUUCUUUUUACUUCGGGUUGAUUUUGUUACUGGUUUUUGUUUGUUUGUUUGUUUUUCUUUUUCUGUCUUCACAACAUACUGCAGGUUUGAGUCUCUCAGAGCCAGAAAGAAAUCGGUAUCAAGACGUGCUAAGAAUGUAUUGUAGUUACUAAGGAAGUGGUUUCCCAAGCAACAGUAACCACAUGAAAUUCGACAGAAUUUCUUCCUUUGCUACUAUAUCAUGUUUGAAGAUUUCAAAGAGCCAGGAUGUGGGUAGCAUAAGUGAUUUUGUCCUUGUUAAACAGAAGCAGAUACAGUAAUAUCCUUGUCCUUACUAAAGAAAGGGUUAAAUUCAUUAAGUUACAAUUUUCCUGGUAGCAGAAAAAAAUGUGGAUGUGCCAAAUAGUCCUGCAGCAUGUGGGCAGAUGCUAGAGGCAACAUUCUCAGUUGUUACAUACUCAGUGGUGAUAUUUACCAUUCAAGAAAGCCAUGCCAACACUUUGGUUUGCUCCAGACACUGGAAGAGACAUUUACCAGCUUGAUGAUGUCAAAAAGUGUAGGAAACUUGCACUUGCUUGAUAUUAGUAGAAGGAUCAGAACCAAAGGUAAUGAAGUUGCAUUGUCCUAACUUCUCUGCAGUGGUGUAAACAAAAUGGAGUCAGCUGGGCAUCAAUCAAAGAAUGCAGUGUCAUUGCUAUUCUGUUUUGAUCAAGAAAUGAAAAUAACACAGUAGAUGUUGCCCUCUGAAAGUGAAUUUAAUGCUUGUUCUUAGAAGGGAAUUGGAAACAACAGGUUCUAUGGGUUAACAAGCAGUGCAAUUUAAUAUGUUUUCUCGAUAGAAAAUGUGAAUAAUUUCUACCUGCUUCUGUGUGCUGAGGUUCAUUGAGUGGUAAGGCACCACAGAGGCACUGUUAAUAAAGAGCUCAAUCCAGCAAGACAAAGAAAGAGAUGACUCAUUUUUCAUUUGAGUUUCAGGUACUAAGAAAAUCAAAAUUUCUUUCAAAAAUUUGUCUUUAAGAAGUGAUUCUUUAUAUCCACUUCAUGUUUAUGGUGAAAUUUAAAAAAGAAAAUGUGGUGGUGUGCAUGUGAGGCAAAUCCCAAGGGAAGGUAUGUAUUGAAGGAGGUGUGUUUCCAUAUGUUAUUAAGGUUCGUGCUUUGUAGGUACACUUACAUCUUUUCUGAAAACUUAGAUUUCUGCUUUGACCAGAGUAAGAAUUUUUUUACAAUUGUACAAACUCCUACUUAUCUUCUGGAUUGCAGGUCACCAUGCAUAAUGAAACAUUUGAGCUACGGAACCUUUUAAAGUAUACGAAGAAACAAUUAUGUGUAUUAUGAAACUGUUCAGCAGUAUGGAUUGGGGCCAGCUCUGUGCAUUCCCAGAUGUAAUGGACAUAAUUGCAGGUCUCCAAGCACAGACACUGAAGUGAAUGACUGAGGGGAUUUGGGGGCUUCACUGGCUCUGGAUCUGUAUCAGCAGUGCCAGAAACAAACUGGCUCAUUAAAAGCUUUAAUCUUAUUUCACUUAUUACCCUUUCACUUAUUUCUACCUUUGUGAACUGCUUCAUGCAAAGAACUGCCUUUUUAAACCAUCUCUCAAACCCUCUUCAAGUUGCAGAACUAAUAUUCUUAGCUAACAAGCUCUUAGUUAAGUAAGUGGUUAGAAAACUUCUAAGUCCUUCAGAAGGCUUCCUUCCAACACAUCCUCCGUAGACAUACUAAUGUGUUUGUAUUUCUGUGAUGCAUUAAGACAUCUAAAAGAAUACUGCUUGUAGGCAGGUAAAUGCUAUAAUUAGAAAAAAACAAGUUGAGUCUCCAAAUAAAGUCAUCUGUUUCUUUUAAAAAUACAGUAGAUGCACUAUAAUGUAGGAACUUAAUUUAUUUAAAUAAAGUUUGUUUGUAUUCAUGCACAGAACCCAACUAAAUCAAAUGUCUGCAGCUUUUGUGCAUGCUUGCAUUUUAAGCAGUUGCAUCUAAUCAGAAUAGUUAUCAUUUUAAUAGAGCUGGCGCACAUUAAAAAGAGCAUGGAUGGGGGGAUGUUACCCUCCCCCUCUACUCUGCCCUGGUGAGGCCACAUGUAGAGUACUACGUCCAGUUCUAGACUCCUCAGUUCAAGAAAGACAGAGAGAGUCCAACAAAGGGUCAUAAAGAUGAUGGGGAACCUGGAGCAUCUCCUUUCUGAGGAAAGGCUGAGAGACCUGUGACUGUUCAGCCCAGAGAAGACUGAGAAGGAAUCUUACCAAUGCCUAUGGAUAUCUGAAGUGUGGAAGUAAGGUGGAUGGGGCCAGGCUCUUUUCAGUGGUGCCCAGUGACAGGAUAAGGGGCAAAGGACACAAACUGGAACACUAGAAGUUCCAUAUGAACAUGAGGAAAAACCUCUUUGAAAGUGACAGAGCACUGUAACAGGCUGCCUGGAGAGAUUGUGGAGUCUCCUUCUCUGGAGAUAUGCAUAUCUGCCUGGACGCCUUCCUGUAUGACCUACUGUAGGGAACUUGUUUUAUCAAGGAGAAAGCUGCCUCUGCCCUCGAAGGCCUCUCAUUUUACCAGGAUGUAUGCAGUGGACACAGACCUGAUAAGAAAUUAUGAGGUUGCAGUUUCUACUGGAAUAAGAGUUCAAUGCAGUCACUUACCCAGACUUCACUUCAUCAUGUCUGAGCACUUACAGCUAUAACUUGUGAUCUUUCUGGUUUAUUUGGAGGCACAGCAAGCCAGCUCCUGUACACAGAGGCAUCCUUAUAUGCUUUCUAAUGUGAUGCUGCUGUGUGGGAUAUUGAGAUCACAGUGAAGGUCGCAGUGCAAAUAUUUACAUACAGGCAAGUCUUAGUGUAUGACUCUCUGGAGACCCCUACAUAAAGGCUGUGAAUCUGAUUAGAUUCCAAAAUGGAAGAGCAAGACAUCUUGUUUUUGUCCAUACUCUUGAAAAUGUUAUCCUAACCCUCAAGAACAUUAAGAACAGUAAGGCUAUGAAGAGAUGGAGAAGAACAACUGAAGUUCCAUAAGAAGCCAGUAAGUUUAACAUUCUGACUUUUGGCAUUAUCAGUGAAGAGUAUAGAAAAGGUAUGGGAACCUUGCAUUCUGGUGCAACAAAAUGUCACUGUAUUUGAACUCUCUUAAUUUGGACUGUGAAAAGAGCACUGCUUAAUGGCAUAAUCUGAAGACAAUCACGUGUAGUUUUGAAACAUAAUUCCUUUAUUUGUAAAGUGUUAAGGGGAU